This 403-nucleotide ribosomal RNA is filed under the name uncultured bacterium. RNAcentral describes it as "bacterial SSU rRNA". It matches the Rfam family "Bacterial small subunit ribosomal RNA", at positions 355 to 775 of the family's 1533-position model. The record is from RNAcentral.
UGGGGAAUAUUGGACAAUGGGGGCAACCCUGAUCCAGCAAUGCCGCGUGAGUGAUGAAGGCCUUAGGGUUGUAAAGCUCUUUUACCGGGGACGAUGAUGACGGUACCCGGAGAAUAAGCCCCGGCUAACUUCGUGCCAGCAGCCGCGGUAAUACGAAGGGGGCGAGCGUUGUUCGGAAUUACUGGGCGUAAAGGGCGCGUAGGCGGCGACCCAAGUCAGAUGUGAAAGUCCUGGGCUUAACCUGGGGACUGCAUUUGAUACUGGGUUGCUUGAAUUCGGGAGAGGAUAGCGGAAUUCCCAGUGUAGAGGUGAAAUUCGUAGAUAUUGGGAAGAACACCGGUGGCGAAGGCGGCUAUCUGGACCGACAUUGACGCUGAGGCGCGAAAGCGUGGGGAGCAAACAG